This 315-nucleotide signal recognition particle RNA is filed under the name Phascolarctos cinereus (koala). RNAcentral describes it as "Metazoan signal recognition particle RNA (ENSPCIG00000004486.2)". It matches the Rfam family "Metazoan signal recognition particle RNA". From Rfam's summary of the family: The signal recognition particle (SRP) is a universally conserved ribonucleoprotein. The record is from RNAcentral. Lineage: Eukaryota; Metazoa; Chordata; Mammalia; Diprotodontia; Phascolarctidae.
GCCAGGCAGAGUGGUAUGCAGCUGUAAUCCCUGCCCCCGAAGAGGCUGAGGCUGGUGAAUCACUUGCUUAGGAAUUCUGAGCUACAACUGGGCUAAAGCCAAUUGGGUAUCCACCCUAGGUUUGGCACCAAUAUGGUGACCCACCGGGGAUGAGGGUGGGAGGGGAGGAAGGGGAAGCACCAGGUUGCCUAAGGAGGGGCAGACUGGCCCAGGUUGAAAAGCAGGUCAAAUACUCCUUGCCAAUCAGUAGUGGGAUUGAUCCUUUGAGUAGUCACUGCACUUCCAGUCCGGGCAAAAUGGAGAAACCCAGUGUCA